RNAcentral lists this ribosomal RNA (265 nucleotides) under uncultured prokaryote. RNAcentral's name for it is "partial 16S ribosomal RNA". It matches the Rfam family "Bacterial small subunit ribosomal RNA", at positions 524 to 788 of the family's 1533-position model. The record is from RNAcentral.
UACGGAGGAUCCGAGCGUUAUCCGGAUUUAUUGGGUUUAAAGGGUGCGCAGGCGGGAGAUUAAGUCGGCGGUGAAAUUUUGCAGCUCAACUGUAAAAGUGCCUUCGAAACUGGUUUCCUUGAGUGUAGAUGAAGUAGGCGGAAUUUGUGGUGUAGCGGUGAAAUGCAUAGAUAUCACGAGGAACUCCGAUUGCGCAGGCAGCUUACUAAACUACUACUGACGCUCAUGCACGAAGGCGUGGGGAUCAAACAGGAUUAGAUACCCU